CGUACGAUACGAGUUUGAUCAUGGCUACAGAACGAACGCUGGCGGCAGGCUUAACACAUGCAAGUCGAACGCUCGUAGCAAUACGGGAGUGGCGGACGGGUGAGUAACGCGUGGGAACGUGCCCUGAGGUACGGAAUAACUGCGGGAAACUGCAGCUAAUACCGUAUGAGCCCCGUGAGGGGGAAAGAUUUAUCGCCUUAGGAGCGGCCCGCGUCGGAUUAGCUAGUUGGUGGGGUAACGGCUUACCAAGGCUUCGAUCCGUAGCUGGUCUGAGAGGACGAUCAGCCACACUGGGACUGAGACACGGCCCAGACUCCUACGGGAGGCAGCAGUGGGGAAUCUUGCGCAAUGGGGGCAACCCUGACGCAGCCAUGCCGCGUGAAUGAUGAAGGCCUUAGGGUUGUAAAGUUCUUUUGCCCGUGACGAUGAUGACGGUAACGGGAGAAUAAGCUCCGGCUAACUUCGUG
Molecule: ribosomal RNA, 467 nt
Filed under: uncultured bacterium
Lineage: Bacteria
Description: bacterial SSU rRNA
Rfam family: Bacterial small subunit ribosomal RNA
Source: RNAcentral